CGAGAAUCUUCCGCAAUGGACGAAAGUCUGACGGAGCGACGCCGCGUGCGGGAUGAAGGCCCUUGGGUUGUAAACCGCUGUCAGAGGGGAUGAAAUCUUCGGAGGUACUCCUCCGAAGUUGACAGAGCCUCAAAGGAAGCACGGGCUAAGUACGUGCCAGCAGCCGCGGUAACACGUACUGUGCGAACGUUAUUCGGAAUCACUGGGCUUAAAGGGUGCGUAGGCGGCGAUUCAAGUCAGAUGUGAAAUGCCUGAGCUCAACUGAGGCAUUGCGUUUGGAAACUGAACCGCUAGAGUAUUUUCAGGGGUGUGCGGAACUGCCAGUGGAACGGUGAAAUGUGUUGAUAUUGGCAGGAACACCGGAGGCGAAAGCGGCACACUGGGGAAUUACUGACGCUGAGGCACGAAAGCCAAGGGAGCGAACGGGAUUAGAUACCCCGGUAGUCUUGGCCGUAAACGAUGAGUACUGGCGGGAGGAGGUUUCCUCUUUCUGUCCGUAGCGAAAGCGUAAGUACU
RNAcentral lists this ribosomal RNA (516 nucleotides) under uncultured bacterium. Its description in RNAcentral is "bacterial SSU rRNA". It matches the Rfam family "Bacterial small subunit ribosomal RNA", at positions 356 to 868 of the family's 1533-position model. The record is from RNAcentral.